RNAcentral lists this non-coding RNA (21 nucleotides) under Arabidopsis thaliana (thale cress). The record is from RNAcentral. Lineage: Eukaryota; Viridiplantae; Streptophyta; Magnoliopsida; Brassicales; Brassicaceae.
UGGUUAAGUCUAUUUGAUUCC